RNAcentral lists this ribosomal RNA (465 nucleotides) under Vreelandella stevensii. Its description in RNAcentral is "partial 16S ribosomal RNA". It matches the Rfam family "Bacterial small subunit ribosomal RNA", at positions 338 to 795 of the family's 1533-position model. Lineage: Bacteria; Pseudomonadati; Pseudomonadota; Gammaproteobacteria; Oceanospirillales; Halomonadaceae. The record is from RNAcentral.
CCUACGGGGGGCAGCAGUGGGGAAUAUUGGACAAUGGGGGCAACCCUGAUCCAGCCAUGCCGCGUGUGUGAAGAAGGCCCUCGGGUUGUAAAGCACUUUCAGUGAGGAAGAACGCCUGGUGGUUAAUACCCAUCAGGAAAGACAUCACUCACAGAAGAAGCACCGGCUAACUCCGUGCCAGCAGCCGCGGUAAUACGGAGGGUGCGAGCGUUAAUCGGAAUUACUGGGCGUAAAGCGCGCGUAGGUGGCUUGAUAAGCCGGUUGUGAAAGCCCCGGGCUCAACCUGGGAACGGCAUCCGGAACUGUGAAGCUAGAGUGCAGGAGAGGAAGGUAGAAUUCCCGGUGUAGCGGUGAAAUGCGUAGAGAUCGGGAGGAAUACCAGUGGCGAAGGCGGCCUUCUGGACUGACACUGACGCUGAGGUGCGAAAGCGUGGGUAGCAAACAGGAUUAGAUACCCUAGUAGUC